Molecule: ribosomal RNA, 403 nt
Filed under: uncultured bacterium
Lineage: Bacteria
Description: bacterial SSU rRNA
Rfam family: Bacterial small subunit ribosomal RNA
Source: RNAcentral
UGGGGAAUAUUGGACAAUGGGGGCAACCCUGAUCCAGCCAUGCCGCGUGAGUGAUGAAGGCCUUCGGGUUGUAAAGCUCUUUUGUGAGGGAAGAUGAUGACGGUACCUCAAGAAUAAGCCCCGGCUAACUUCGUGCCAGCAGCCGCGGUAAUACGAAGGGGGCUAGCGUUGUUCGGAAUUACUGGGCGUAAAGGGCGCGUAGGUGGCUUUGUAAGUCAGGAGUGAAAUCCCUGGGCUCAACCCAGGAAUUGCUCUUGAGACUACAUGGCUUGAGUACAGGAGAGGUGAGUGGAAUUCCCAGUGUAGAGGUAAAAUUCGUAGAUAUUGGGAGGAACACCAGUGGCGAAGGCGGCUCACUGGCCUGUAACUGACACUGAGGCGCGAAAGCGUGGGGAGCAAACAG